UCAACAAAGCUGAAUAAUAUUAUAGAUUAUAUUAAUUCUGUGUUGCUGGUUGUAUAUAUGUCUGAAUUUUUUGUCAUUUCUAUUUUUAGUUCCUCAUUUUGAAUCCGCUGCCCCGGAUCACCACACGCCCCCUCUGACAUGUGCCCGAUCCGCGACCGCUUCUCAUUACCUGCCAGGCGCCCGGAUUAGUCACAGAUAUUGCAUAUCCAAGCAGGAAGAGACCCCGCCCGACCUCCCCUCCCUCCAACACGCCCACCUACGUUUGUGUGACUGUCCGGCCAGGUCGGUGCCUCUGCCUCUUGGAUUCAGCUUUAGACCGCCAUGCCACCACGUGAUGGAUUGGCGUCCUGUCCGAGCAGGAAAACUGAGAAGCCGGCUAGCAAUCAGCGCACAGAAAACAACGAGAACCAGGACAAAGUGAAGCAGGAAAAAAAAACCCGCAGCGAUAAGAACCAGACCUUUUGUUUCUGACAUGGUAACAAACAAAACAUUUUUAUUUCUCAAUGAAAACAGCUGCCUAAUUUAUUGUUGACAUAAACUGUAAUAUUUGCUGGGCCAGAUGUGAAUUUAUAAUGAAAAUAAACACAUCUGGAUUAA
Long non-coding RNA from Trichomycterus rosablanca, 597 nucleotides. RefSeq lists it as uncharacterized. The transcript is spliced from 2 exons. Lineage: Eukaryota; Metazoa; Chordata; Actinopteri; Siluriformes; Trichomycteridae. The record is from RefSeq and is a predicted model, not a curated record.